CAAGGUUAUGCAGGAAAUGUACAGAAGAAGAAGAAACAAAAGGCUUGAUUUCUUUAUUCUCAUGAGUUUAGUUACUAGAUGUUUCUUCUAUCCAACACCAGCAAUUAGUCACAUGCUGGCUUUCAAAGGCUGCAGUCAUCAUUUGUUUCUCCACACAUAUGGCAGCGGCUCCUCUCUGAACUGAGGCCUUCACGCUAUGAUAACCACGGGUCUCUUGAAAAAGAAGUUCUAUUCUUCACCACUUAAAUAAGACUCAGAGAAGAACAGAAGCAGAAGAGAAGAGAAACUCCAGAACUUUUCCUGGAACAUAGGAAAGGCUGGAUGCAGUCUCAGGAAAGUGGAAUAUGAUGGCUAUUUCUAACAGUACUACUGUUUAAAAGAUUGGCUGAAGUAA
Long non-coding RNA from Pseudopipra pipra, 394 nucleotides. RefSeq lists it as uncharacterized. The transcript is spliced from 3 exons. Lineage: Eukaryota; Metazoa; Chordata; Aves; Passeriformes; Pipridae. The record is from RefSeq and is a predicted model, not a curated record.